GAUCAUGGCUCAGGAUGAACGCUAGCUACAGGCUUAACACAUGCAAGUCGAGGGGCAGCAUGGUCUUAGCUUGCUAAGACUGGUGGCGACCGGCGCACGGGUGAGUAACACGUAUCCAACCUGCCGUCUACUCUUGGACAGCCUUCUGAAAGGAAGAUUAAUACAAGACGGCAUCAUGAGUCCGCAUGUUCACAUGAUUAAAGGUAUUCCGGUAGACGAUGGGG
Molecule: ribosomal RNA, 224 nt
Filed under: uncultured bacterium
Lineage: Bacteria
Description: partial 16S ribosomal RNA
Rfam family: Bacterial small subunit ribosomal RNA
Source: RNAcentral